GCGUAAACUUGGCACGUCUCCGUCUCCGGCAGAGCGGCCGUGCGCAGAGGAAACGCCGUUAGUUUACGCAGAGUUUGGGAAGUUUUGAGUUUUUUUGGGGGAGUUGGGGCAGGAGAAAAGUCGCGGUCCAUGUCUGAUCCCGAGCCGAAAACAGCGACCAUCUGACCGACAUGUCGCGAGAAAACACGACGCGGAGUCUGGACACCAUAGACCUCGCUGCGUUACGCGACCCUGCUGGGAUCUUCGAGCUGGUGGAGGUGGUUGGAAAUGGAACAUACGGACAAGUUCAUAAGGGUCGCCAUGUCAAGACGGGUCAGCUGGCGGCGAUCAAAGUCAUGGAGGUCACAGAGGU
Boleophthalmus pectinirostris (great blue-spotted mudskipper) is the source of this 352-nucleotide long non-coding RNA. RefSeq lists it as uncharacterized. The transcript is spliced from 3 exons. The record is from RefSeq and is a predicted model, not a curated record. Lineage: Eukaryota; Metazoa; Chordata; Actinopteri; Gobiiformes; Gobiidae.